This 541-nucleotide ribosomal RNA is filed under the name Salmonella enterica. RNAcentral describes it as "partial 23S ribosomal RNA". It matches the Rfam family "Bacterial large subunit ribosomal RNA", at positions 1123 to 1665 of the family's 2925-position model. The record is from RNAcentral. Lineage: Bacteria; Pseudomonadati; Pseudomonadota; Gammaproteobacteria; Enterobacterales; Enterobacteriaceae.
UUAAAGAAAGCGUAAUAGCUCACUGGUCGAGUCGGCCUGCGCGGAAGAUGUAACGGGGCUAAACCAUGCACCGAAGCUGCGGCAGCGACACUCAGGUGUUGUUGGGUAGGGGAGCGUUCUGUAAGCCUGCGAAGGUGGCCUGUGAGGGUUGCUGGAGGUAUCAGAAGUGCGAAUGCUGACAUAAGUAACGAUAAAGCGGGUGAAAAGCCCGCUCGCCGGAAGACCAAGGGUUCCUGUCCAACGUUAAUCGGGGCAGGGUGAGUCGACCCCUAAGGCGAGGCCGAAAGGCGUAGUCGAUGGGAAACGGGUUAAUAUUCCCGUACUUGGUGUUACUGCGAAGGGGGGACGGAGAAGGCUAUGUUGGCCGGGCGACGGUUGUCCCGGUUUAAGCGUGUAGGCUGGUUUUCCAGGCAAAUCCGGAAAAUCAAGGCUGAGGCGUGACGACGAGGCACUACGGUGCUGAAGCAACAAAUGCCCUGCUUCCAGGAAAAGCCUCUAAGCAUCAGGUAACAUCAAAUCGUACCCCAAACCGACACAGGUG